Molecule: small RNA, 106 nt
Filed under: Marmota monax (woodchuck)
Lineage: Eukaryota; Metazoa; Chordata; Mammalia; Rodentia; Sciuridae
Source: RNAcentral
GCUGGGCAUGGUGGCCCAUGCCUGUGUCCCCAGCCACUUGGGAGCUAAGGCAGGGGGACCUCAAGUUCAAAGCCAGCCCCAGCAACUUAGUGACACCCUGUCUCAA